AAUCCGUGUUGCAGACACUUUCUGUGGAGUCCCUUGAACCUCUUCCACGUCUCAAAUAGAGAUUCUAAUUCCAACUGUACAAAGGACAAGAUCUCAUUCCUAUGCUU
Molecule: small nucleolar RNA, 107 nt
Organism: Dioscorea cayenensis subsp. rotundata (Guinea yam)
Lineage: Eukaryota; Viridiplantae; Streptophyta; Magnoliopsida; Dioscoreales; Dioscoreaceae
Source: RefSeq, a predicted model, not a curated record